This 301-nucleotide ribosomal RNA is filed under the name uncultured bacterium. Its description in RNAcentral is "partial 16S ribosomal RNA". It matches the Rfam family "Bacterial small subunit ribosomal RNA", at positions 509 to 807 of the family's 1533-position model. The record is from RNAcentral.
CAGUCGCCGCGGUAAUACGAAGGGUGCAAGCGUUAAUCGGAAUUACUGGGCGUAAAGGGUGCGUAGGCGGUUAGUUAAGUCUGUCGUGAAAUCCCCGGGCUCAACCUGGGAAUGGCGAUGGAUACUGGCUGGCUAGAGUGUGUCAGAGGAUGGUGGAAUUUCCGGUGUAGCGGUGAAAUGCGUAGAGAUCUGGAGGAAUACCGGUGGCGAAGGCGGCCCCCUGGACAAAGACUGACGCUCAGGUGCGAAAGCGUGGGGAGCAAACAGGAUUAGAUACCCGAGUAGUCCCUGUCUCUUAUAC